RNAcentral lists this ribosomal RNA (520 nucleotides) under uncultured Entrophospora. RNAcentral's name for it is "SSU rRNA". It matches the Rfam family "Eukaryotic small subunit ribosomal RNA", at positions 569 to 1084 of the family's 1831-position model. Lineage: Eukaryota; Fungi; Glomeromycota; Glomeromycetes; Entrophosporales; Entrophosporaceae. The record is from RNAcentral.
AGCAGCCGCGGUAAUUCCAGCUCCAAUAGCGUAUAUUAAAGUUGUUGCAGUUAAAAAGCUCGUAGUUGAAUUUCGGGAUUGGCGCAUCGGUCGUGCCUUACGGGGUAUGAACUGGUGCAGUCAAUUUCUCACCUUCUGGAGAACCGCGAUGUCCUUAAUUGGGUGCCGCGGGGAACCGGGACCUUUACUUUGAAAAAAUUAGAGUGUUUAAAGCAGGCAUUUUUGCUUGAAUACAUUAGCAUGGAAUAAUAAAAUAGGACGGCAUGGUUCUAUUUUGUUGGUCUCUAGGACCACCGUAAUGAUUAAUAGGGAUAGUUGGGGGCAUUAGUAUUCAAUUGUCAGAGGUGAAAUUCUUGGAUUUAUUGAAGACUAACUACUGCGAAAGCAUUUGCCAAGGAUGUUUUCAUUAAUCAAGAACGAAAGUUAGGGGAUCGAAGACGAUCAGAUACCGUCGUAGUCUUAACCAUAAACUAUGCCGACUAGGAAUCAGACGAUGUUAAUUUUUAAUGACUCGUUUUGG